GGAUGGAGAUGGCCAAGAGGCAACAUCUGGGUUGAUGUAAGGAGAAACUUCCUAAUCAUUCAAACUAGUCAAAGCUCUUCUCUGCAGAGAGGCCUUGACGAAUUGUUGAAAUGCCUCUACUGAGGCCCAUGAAAGUGUUUGCUUCCUUGAUAAGGACAAUGAUUGAGAGGGUGGAAAAGAGGUCUAAGAAGAAAAUUGUUUUUUGCUCCUGAGGACAGAAAUACCUGGUGCUGGCUGCUGGUGGUUUCAAUAAACUGCAUCCCUUUGUCUUUUUGCUUUCCCUC
Molecule: long non-coding RNA, 284 nt
Filed under: Monodelphis domestica (gray short-tailed opossum)
Lineage: Eukaryota; Metazoa; Chordata; Mammalia; Didelphimorphia; Didelphidae
Description: lncRNA (ENSMODG00000043593.1)
Source: RNAcentral